This 9065-nucleotide long non-coding RNA is filed under the name Citrus maxima (pomelo). Its description in RNAcentral is "long non-coding RNA (CMAX_LNC002080)". The record is from RNAcentral. Lineage: Eukaryota; Viridiplantae; Streptophyta; Magnoliopsida; Sapindales; Rutaceae.
UUUCCCCUUCCAUCAGCCACCUUUUCUGUUGGUUCAACAACAUAUGUAGAUUCAUCAUCCAGUGGGAGACUAUGCUUUCCUGUUGUUAAUUCCUAAUUAAUGGGUCCUGCAGGUGCUGUACCUUCUCAUUUUCACUAGGCCUCAUGUAGUGAGUAUCUCUUAUGGUAGCAACAGUGCUAGUGCUGAAAGCAGUUCAAAAUGGGGUAGACAGGUUCUAGACUUAAAUGCAGGGCCUGGCGUCCCAGACAUAGAAGGUAGAAAUGAGACACCGCCUUUUGUGCCGAGGCAACUGUCUGUUGCCGGUGCACAGGUCCUACUGGAGGACCAAGCAAGAAUGUAUCAGAUGGCAGAUGGCCAUUUGAAGAGGAAGGAACCUGAAGGAGGAUGAGAUGGUUACAAGCGGCCCUCAUGGCACUAGGGAUGGCUAAUGUGACAAUUUGCUGACCCAUAGAAUAUUUUAAGUUCAUGGUACGUGUCCUUAACUGGUACAAUGUUUUAUCUUUGGCAUAUUGUUUAGGACUGAAAUGCUCCUCUUUAUGUUGAAUUGCUGAUGACAUUUAUCUUGGCACUAGCAAUGUUCUCUUUGGCAUGUUCAUUGUUUAGCAUCUUUAUCACGAUUGUCUUGUUCUGUUGCAACCCCACAAAAAAAAGGGAAAAAAAAGUAACUGAUAUCAAUGGUAUUUGUCCAUUUUCAACAUUUUUUAUUCUGUUUUUGGCUCCCCCAUUUCAUUUCCGGAUAUGUAUGAACUAUUUUCCAAGGAUUUUUCAUUUUGGGAUUGAAUUACACGCAUACAUUUUAUGGAUUUCCCUUGCUCUCUUUUGGAUGCUUUGUUCUCUUUCCCCUUUGAUGUUCAUUUUUCUUUCUCCAGUUCUUAAAGGAUGGCCGUUGACUUAACCCCUGAGGUCAGUUAAUUUGUGCGCCUGGAGGUUGUGUGGUAAGUGAGUUAUUGAUGUAGUUCAUUGUCUUCAACCCCAUCCUCCUGCUCCACCAACCAACCGUGGUAUAAAAGAAUCUGUUGUGGUCUUCGUCGCUGAAUUUUUUCUAGGUGGUAUUUGUGCAGAACGGUUUCCUGUUUGUACAUAUUUUAAUUGUUGGAAGCAUGCAUUUUGCUCAGACAUUUAUGGUUGGUGCUUGUAGUGGUGUUUAUGCAUCAGCUAUAUAAACCAUUUGGAUCUAGACUAACAAUCAAUAUCCAAUGCUUCUUGUAAUGGAGCUUGGAUUGAUCUGCUUUAAGCAGAAGAUGUACUUCGAUGUUAAUUUAUCUUUCUUUCCAGUCUCCCCUUUUGACCCCAGUUUUGUUAGUCACAUGAACAUCCAUCUUCUGUGGUUUCCUGCAAGUUAAUCAUGUACUAUUAUUAUCGGCCCCGAUUUUAAUCCUUAAUCCUUAUGGUUUUCUAAGUUCCCACCCAUCUUAGCCAGUAAGAUUCCAAACUCAAUUUACAUUCUACUUAAUCAUCAUUUUGCCUUUUGCAUACCUGGCAUUUUUUGUUCACCGGUGGCAUUUGUACAUAUAGGUCUAUGCCUUGUUGUUUCGGCUAUUGCAUUAUCUCUAUACUUAAUUUAUUAGAUUGCCUGUUACUGAAAUUAGUGUAUAACAAAUUUUAUAAAGUUUUGAAAAUUUGUACUGUAUUGUUGCUGAAAUUUCAUCUUAUUCUUUGUGGCCUUAAAGGGACAAUGCAACAAUCGGAGCCACAGGCACAGCCCAUGGAUACUUCAACUGCCUAUAAUAUAGCGGUGCCCCAACUGGUGCUUAUGCAAAUCAAUAUUAUGGGUCACAGAGCAAUGCUGAAAAAUAACAAGAGGCUGUGGUUGAUUAUCUGUACAUUAGAGAACCAUUGACAUACAUACGGUUGUAUCUCUAACGCUCGCUUCUGUUUAAUGAAAAUUUGAAUGUUACAUGACCAGCAUUGCUGCCCUCAAUUUUUGUAAGGAAAGCGGAGGUUGAAAAUGAAAAUUGCCAAUCCCUUUUCUUUUUUCCGCUGGAAAAUUGUCAUUCUGAUUUGGCAUAAUUGGUUGCAAUCAUCAGAGCAAUCACAUCCGCAAACGGCAAAAGAUUGAAAACGACACUACAAAGUUCAGUUCAACUUAAAAUUAUAAAGUUCAAUUCAAUUUAAAAUUAUAAAGUUCAGUUCGAGUCUACAAACUUGGGCUUGUAGCCCAAUGGUGAACCAUUGCCCUCAAAGUUAAACAUGACUAUGAGGGCAAUGGUUCGAGUCCCCACGGACUCAACCUCUCUCAAUUAAACAUAAUUAUAUGAACUUCUUAUAAAGUCUUUCUCCCUUGCGAAAUGUGAGUGGAGUAGAGACAUCCCUUCUCCGUAAGGGAUAUUUGGAUGGGCAUGUACUUCAUAAAAUAAAAAUGUAAUAAUAUAAUGACCUGCUGUCAUAACAGUUGUAUAUAUCUUUUCCUUGCGAAAUGUGAGUGGAGUAGAGACAUCUCUUCUCCGUAAGGGAUAUUUGGAUGGGCAUGUACUUCAUAGAAUAAAAAUGUAAUAAUAUAAUGACAUGCUGUCAUAACAGUUGUAUAUGAGACAUCUCUUCUCCGUAAGGGAUAUUUGGAUAGGCAUGUACUUCAUAGAAUAAAAAUGUAAUAAUAUAAUGACCUGCUGUCAUAACAGUUGUAUAUAUCUUUAUGUAAUACAGUAACCUGAUGCUUAAUCAGUUAAAAAAAAAACUUAAAAUUAUAAAUAAAAUAAAAAAAUUACUAAACCACGCGCAUGCCGUGGCUAAAGUUUAUAUAUCGGUAGAAAAAUUAGAACAGCAAUCGGUUAAGUUAAUGAUUAAAAAAGAAAAAAGAAAAAAGAAAAAAGAAAUAUAAAUUAUAAAAAAAAAAGGCAAAACAAAACCGCAUUCCAAAAACGAAAAAAGAGAUCGAGGGGCGAAAUUUGCCAAAUUUGUGAUUAAGCUGACGUGGAGCUGCCAUACCAAUAACAACUCACCAAGUAAAACACGUACGCCUUUCCUCUUUGCUGUCUCUCUCUUCUCUUCGAUUGCUCUUCAUUUUUGGCCCUCUUUCGCUGCUUUCUCUCUCUCGAUUCUCUCUUUCGAUUCUCUCAAUCUCUUUGCUUACCUAGGUCAAUCUCUGGCUCUUUUUCUGGAUCUCAGUUCCAAUUAGAUCGCUUUGUUUGUUUGAAAUCAAUUGGUUACUUUUUCCCCCAAACAAAAAAAAAUUAGGGUUCGGAUUGAUGGUUGGUGAUCUAGGGCUCGUGAAUAGGUGAAAAAAAGAGGGUUGUGACUGUAAGAAGCGGAAUUGAGGAUUGAUGGUACUCAAUAUCGGGCAAAAUGUUGCAAGGGUAUCAUGCGUAUGCGUAUGCAUGGAUGGAGGGCAGGUGAAGAGGAAGGGGAUAGAAAACGGGAAGGUCGUCGACGGCACAUGUGGACUGUCCCUCCACGUGACUCUGCGAUUUUAGCUUCAGUUGCUGAUGGUGGUUCUGCCUCUCCUUCCUCUUCUUCUUCUUUGUCCUCUUCUCCCAAUUCAGUUACUUUCUUUUCUCAGGUAAUUGUUCGAAUACUGAUUUUUUUCGGCCUGUUUGAUUUUUUCGUUUUGAUGGAUCAAUAAGUGAGGGAUUGAAUUGGUUUUCCUUUUUUCUUCAUUAUUAUUAUUAUUAUUAUUUGGGUGGGGGAAUGGAAUUCUGUUGGGGUUUGAUUGAUUUGUGUGGAAACGUGUGAAAUUGAUCUAAUCUUUGUAGACAUGCUAAAAUUAGGGUAGUUCUGAAAUUUUUUAGCAAUUUUUAAUGUUUUGAUCAUUUGGGGCUUUUAUAGCGUGGAGUUUUUAAGCGUAUGCAAUGGUUAUUUUUCUUCAAAGUUCUUGUUAAAUUUAAAAGAUUUCUAUUCUCAAAACUGUUAUUUUACUUGUUCUCAACGAAGAAAGAAGGAGGUCUUGAAGAUCGCUCUUUUUAGGGGGGAAAAAAUUAAUUGAAUGGUUUUCUCAUUCCAAUUCUGAGUUGGUGGCUGAUUAUCUGUCUACACGGUUUUCAUGUGUGAAAUUAUGAACAUUUAUGAUACAGUUGCAAUCUCUAAAUUGGGCAUGUUGUAGGAGGGACAUUUAAUUGCAUAUUGAAACAUUUGAUUACCUGAACAAGAUGAUGUUGUUUAUCUGAUAGCCAAUUGUUACUAGCAUAUUAUUUUGUUAGUAGAUGUAUUUUUCUUGGAUGACAGUGAUGAUGAUGAUGAUUAAUGGGAAGAAUUGUCAGUGGUAGUGUCGUUUAAUGUUUAAACUUAGGUUUCUGCAACUAAAGUUUUUGAAUGCCUUUACACCAGGCUUCGUAGUUUAUUACCAUGUUAAUGGAUUGAGUAUUUAUUACAGCAUUUUCCUUUUUAUUGUGUGGAGCCAUUUUUUGUUUGACCAAAUUUUGUCAAUUUCUCCAUAGGACGGACGGAAAAUUAGUGUUGGUGAUUGCGCACUUUUCAAACCGCCCCAGGAUUCCCCUCCCUUCAUUGGAAUAAUUCGUUCACUGACUGCUGGUAAAGAAAAUAAGUUAACUUUAAGUGUGAAUUGGCUUUAUCGACCUGCUGAAGUUAAACUUGGCAAAGGCUUCCUGUUGGAGGCGGCGCCAAACGAAAUCUUUUAUUCCUUUCAUAAGGAUGAGAUUCCUGCUGCUUCCUUACUUCACCCGUGUAAAGUUGCAUUCCUUCCAAAAGGUAUUGAACUUCCAUCAGGGAUUGGUUCUUUUGUGUGCCGGAAAGUAUAUGACAUCACAAACAAGUGUUUAUGGUGGCUAACUGAUCAAGAUUAUAUUAAUGUGAGUUUUGAAUACUCUGCUCUUCUCAUCUUUCUAUAUUUAGCUAUAGGUUGUUGCUUUUCCUGGUAAUCUGUAUUUUUUAACCGCUUCAGGAACGACAGGAAGAAGUAGAUCAACUUUUAUAUAAGACGCAUAUAGAAAUGCAUGCAACAGUACCAUCAGGUGGCCGUUCCCCAAAGCCAAUGAAUGGUCCAACAUCAACGUCUCAGCUAAAACCUGGUUCGGAUGGUGCACAGAAUAGUGCCUCUUUUCCUUCACAAGUGAAGGGGAAGAAAAGGGAGAGAGGAGAUCAGAGUUCUGAGCCAGUUAAACGAGAACGAUCCUCAAAAAUGGAGGAUGGGAAUUCUGGACACAGUAGAACAGAAACUAAUUUAAAAACUGAGAUUGCAAAAAUUACAGAGAAAGGUGGGCUUGUAGAUUAUGAUGGGGUUGAGAAAUUGGUGCAGCUCAUGGUUCCUGAGAGAAAUGAUAAGAAAAUUGACCUCGUCUGCCGGUCAUUGCUUGCUGGUGUGGUGGCAGCAACAGAUAAAUUUGAUUGCCUUAACUGGUUUGUGCAGUUAAGGGGUUUGCUUGUGUUUGAUGAAUGGCUGCAGGAGGUCCAUAAAGGGAAGAUAGGCGAUGCUGGCAGCCCCAGGGAUGGUGAUAAAUCAGUUGAGGAAUUUCUUUUAAUUUUGCUUCGUGCGCUUGAUAAGCUGCCAGUAAAUCUUAAUGCCUUACAAAUGUGUAACAUCGGAAAGUCUGUGAAUCAUUUGCGGACACACAAGAACGUGGAAAUUCAGAAAAAAGCUAGGAGUUUGGUUGACACAUGGAAGAAACGUGUUGAGGCAGAAAUGGAUGCUAGACCCCGGCUGCCUGAAGUUCCUCACAGUGGGAACAGACAGACGGGUGCAUCCUCUGAGGUUGCCAUAAAGAGCCUUGUAACACAACCAGCUUCUUCUAAAACUGGUGCAGUAAAGCUUUGCCAAGGGGAUGCUCCUACAAAGUCUGCGUUUUCCUCUCCAGUGUCUGUGAAAUCAGCUCCAUUGCCUGCAUCAGGGAGUACAGAUGCAAAAGAUGGACAGCCCCGAAAUGCUGCUUCUGCUACUGGUACCACUGACCUUCCUUCUACUCCUGCAAAGGAUGAGAAAAGCAGCAGUUCAAGUCAAUCCCACAACAACGGUCAAUCUUGCGUGGGUGACCAUGCAAAAACUGGGGGAUUAUCUGGGAAGGAGGAUGCUAGGAGCUCUGCCACUGUUUCAAUGACUCUGAAUAAGAUCUCGGUUGGUUCUUCACGGUCUCGGAAAUCAGUCAAUGGUUACCCCAGUUCCACACCAGCUGGGGUUCAAAGAGAAACUGUGUCAAGCAAAAAUGCUACCUUGCACAGAAAUUCAGCUUCAGAUAGACCAUCUCAGCCAAGUCUGACAUGUGAAAAGGCACUUGAUGUACCUGUGGUGGAGGGGGCCAAUCCCAAAAUAAUAGUCAAGAUUCCAAAUCGAGGUCGAAGUCCAGCACAAAAUUCCAGUGGAGGAUCUGUUGAAGACACUUCAGUCACCAACAGCCGAGCAUCUUCUCCUGUGCUUCCAGAGAAGCAGAACCAAUUUGAUCGUAACUUCAAGGAAAAGAAUGAUGCCCUUCGAGCUGAUAUUUCUUCCAAUAUGAAUAGUGAGCCUUGGCAAAGCAAUGUUAACAAGGAUGCAGCUGCUUGUCCAGACGAGGGAAGUGGGUCACCUGCUGUUCUGCCCGAUGAGCAGGGGGGUAAGACUGGUGAUAAUUGUAGGAAAGUGGUUGAAGAUUUAGAAGAUAAUUCCUUACCGCCAGGAUAUGAGUUUAAAGAUGUAAAAUUGCAUGAGUCUUCAUUCAGUUCUAUGAAUGCUCUAAUUGAAAGUUGUGUCAAGUAUUCUGAAGCAAAUGUUUCUGCGCCUGCUGGAGAUGACAUUGGAAUGAACCUUCUAGCUAGUGUGGCUGCUGGAGAGAUGUCCAAAUCUGAUGUAGUUUCACCAGUUGGUUCUCCGCCAAGGACCCCCAUUCAUGAGCCUCUUUGUGAUGAUAAUGAUUCAAGAGUGAAAUCAUUUCCUGGAGAUCAUUCUACUGAUAGCACUGAUGACGAGCAUGAGAAGCAGGGUAUUGAUCGUAAUUUGUGGGCUAAAAAUUCUGACAGUAAUCAAGACAAACCUGCAGGAGGUCUAACGGGACACAUCAGUGCUUCCCCUGUGGAUGUGCAGCAGAGUGGAGAUCCAUGCCAAGAGAACACUGAAAACUCGAAAGAAAUAAUAGUUGCGGAGGAGACACCUGAUGGUGCAGGAAGAAAUCCUGAAGAGGACAAGGCUGGUUUCAGAGUGGAUGCCGAUGGCGCUCCUGAUGGUAAACAGAGGAUAAGUGGCCCUUUGUCAACUGAGGAUAAGGUUUCUGAGUCCACUCGAGGAGUUGAGACUGAAGCCGUUGAAGGAUCAGCAUCAAACCAGUCUUUGGAAUUUGAUGGCGAGAACAAGAAAGGUGUGAGUGAAGGAUUGAACAGCGGUGUGAAGAGAGAGCAAAAGCCAUCUCCCAUUACCACUCACUCUGAGUCUGUGAAAGGAAAGGAUGGAGAACUGCUACAUACUUCUGGUUCUGGUGAAGAUAUGCCUCUGAAAAAUGUUGAUGAAGUGAAGGUUGAAAAGGCUGAUGAGGUAGAUUCCAAGAGUCAUGUCAAUCAAACUGAAGAACAAAAUUCUGAAUGGAAAAGCAAUGCUCCAAUGAUUCGUGAGGAUCGGGUUGUACCACAUUUGGGCUCAGCAGAGAAUGAGGAGAAGGGUAAUGGUAAGGUUGACCACAGAGAAAAUUUGGAAGGUAAGGAAGUUAAAGAGGAGCUUUGUGCUGGCCCAGCUCUUCCUGAGGUAUCAACUGCAUUGCGAGCACAGGAAACAGGGCAGCUUGUGAGGACUGGUGCGGUUAAGUUGACUAUCUCUGAAGGAGACAAAGCACAAGAAUCUACAUCUACCACUAUAGAUGCUGCAUCCUCUGCUGUGGGGGUUUCAGAUAUGGAAGCAAAAGUUGAAUUUGAUUUGAAUGAAGGUUUUGAUGGGGAUGAUGGGAAAUAUGGGGAGUCAAGUAAUUUCAUAGUCCCGGGAUGUUCUGGUGUUGUUCAACAGUUGGUUAGCCCGUUGCCUCUUCCUGUUACUUCUGUGUCCAGUAGCCUUCCUUCUUCAGUAACAGUGGCUGCUGCAGCAAAAGGGCCUUUUGUACCACCGGAGGACCUCCUGAGGAGUAAAGUGGAACUUGGUUGGAAAGGAUCUGCUGCAACAAGUGCAUUUCGCCCAGCUGAACCAAGAAAGAUAUUAGAGAUGCCACUGGGGGCGACUAGCAUUUCUGUUCCUGAUUCAACAUCUGGAAAGCUUGGUCGUCCUCUAUUGGAUAUUGACUUAAAUGUACCAGAUGAGAGAGUCCUAGAGGAUUUGGCUUCUCGAAGCUCUGUUCAGGAUACAGUCACUGCAUCCGACCAUACCAAUAACCGUGAUGGGUCACGCUGUGAAGUGAUGGGUUCUAAAUCUGUCCGCGGCUCUGUCGGACUUGAUCUUGAUUUGAAUAGAGCUGAGGAGCUUAUUGAUAUUGGUAAUUACUCAACUAGCAAUGGGAAUAAAAUAGAUGUCCCAGUUCAGCCUGGCACAUCGUCAGGUGGUCUUUUGAAUGGUGAGGUGAAUGUUCGCAGGGAUUUUGAUUUGAAUGAUGGACCGGUUUUGGAUGAUUGUAGUGCUGAACCAUCAGUCUUUCCCCAGCACCCCAGAAAUGUAUCUCAGGCACCAGUUUCUGGCCUUCGGUUGAGCAGUGCAGAUACAGUAAACUUUUCUUCAUGGUUUCCUAGGGGGAACACUUAUUCAACUAUCGCAGUUCCAUCAGUCUUGCCUGAUAGAGGAGAGCAGCCAUUUCCAAUUAUUGCACCCUGUGCACCACAGAGAAUGUUGGCUCCCCCUACUAGUGGCUCUCCUUUUGGUCCCGAUGUUUUCAGGGGACCAGUAUUGUCAUCUUCUCCUGCGGUGCCCUUUCCAUCUGCCCCAUUUCAAUAUCCAGUCUUUCCUUUUGGAACCAGCUUUCCCCUACCAUCAGCCACCUUUUCUGGUGGUACAACAACAUAUGUAGAUUCAUCAUCUGGUGGGAGAUUUUGCUUCCCUGCAGUUAAUUCACAACUAAUGGGUCCUGCAGGUGCAGUCCCAUCUCAUUUUCCUAGGCCUUAUGUAGUUAGCCUCCCUGAUGGUAGCAACAGUGCUAGCUCUGAAAGCAGUUGGAAACGGAGCAGACAGAGUCUGGACUUAAAUGCAGGGCCUGGAGUCCCAGACAUAGAAGGUAGAGAUGAGACUUCACCCCUUGUGC